This 24-nucleotide non-coding RNA is filed under the name Cricetulus griseus (Chinese hamster). The record is from RNAcentral. Lineage: Eukaryota; Metazoa; Chordata; Mammalia; Rodentia; Cricetidae.
AGAAAGAGGUGUGGAUAAGAACUA